GAUGAACGCUGGCGGCGUGCUUAACACAUGCAAGUCGAACGAUGAAGCCCAGCUUGCUGGGUGGAUUCGUGGCGAACGGGUGAGUAACACGUGAGUAACCUGCCCUUAACUCUGGGAUAAGCCUGGGAAACUGGGUCUAAUACCGGAUAGGAGCGUCCACCGCAUGGUGGGUGUUGGAAAGAUUUAUCGGUUUUGGCUGGACUCGCGGCUUAUCAGCUUGUUGGUGAGGUAUUGGCUCACCAAGGCGCCGACGGGUAGCCGGCAUGUGAGGGUGACCGGCCACACUGGGACUGAGAGACGGCCCAGACUCGUACGGGAGGCAGCAGUGGGGAAUAUUGCACAAUGGGCGCAAGCCUGAUGCAGCGACGCCGCGUGAGGGAUGACGGCCUUCGGGUUGUAAACCGCUUUCAGUAGAGAAGAAGCGAAAGUGACGGUACCUGCAGAAGAAGCACCGGCUAACUACGUG
RNAcentral lists this ribosomal RNA (466 nucleotides) under uncultured bacterium. Its description in RNAcentral is "partial 16S ribosomal RNA". It matches the Rfam family "Bacterial small subunit ribosomal RNA", at positions 28 to 507 of the family's 1533-position model. The record is from RNAcentral.